This 270-nucleotide ribosomal RNA is filed under the name uncultured bacterium. RNAcentral's name for it is "partial 16S ribosomal RNA". It matches the Rfam family "Bacterial small subunit ribosomal RNA", at positions 28 to 309 of the family's 1533-position model. The record is from RNAcentral.
GACGAACGCUGGCGGUGUGCUUCACACAUGCAAGUCGAACGGGGUAGCAAUACCCAGUGGCGGACGGGUGAGUAACGCGUAGGAAUCUGCCUUUAGGUGGGGGAUAACAGUUCGAAAGAACUGCUAAUACCGCAUAUGAGUACAAUUCGACAGUUUUGUACUUAAAAGGAGCAAUUCGCCUGGAGAUGAGCCUGCGUCCGAUUAGCUAGUUGGUAGGGUAAAAGCCUACCAAGGCGACGAUCGGUAGGUGGUCUGAGAGGAUGAUCACCC